This 69-nucleotide transfer RNA is filed under the name Ictidomys tridecemlineatus (thirteen-lined ground squirrel). RNAcentral describes it as "Spermophilus tridecemlineatus (thirteen-lined ground squirrel) tRNA". It matches the Rfam family "tRNA". Rfam says of the family: Transfer RNA (tRNA) molecules are approximately 80 nucleotides in length. Their secondary structure includes four short double-helical elements and three loops (D, anti-codon, and T loops). The record is from Rfam by way of RNAcentral. Lineage: Eukaryota; Metazoa; Chordata; Mammalia; Rodentia; Sciuridae.
GGGGCUGGGGCUCAGGGGUAGAGUGCUUGCCUAGCAUGCAUGAGGCACUGGGUUCGAUCCUCAGCACCA